RNAcentral lists this long non-coding RNA (226 nucleotides) under Ananas comosus (pineapple). RNAcentral describes it as "long non-coding RNA (ACOM_LNC019843)". The record is from RNAcentral. Lineage: Eukaryota; Viridiplantae; Streptophyta; Magnoliopsida; Poales; Bromeliaceae.
AAAACGCCACCUCUCUAAGCCAAAACCCACACUUCUUCAACUUGGCAAAGAGCUUCUUUUUCCGAAGCACUUGAAGUACAAGUCUCAAGUGUUCCUCGUGAUCCGUAUCACUUUGGGAAUAUACCAAGAUGUCGUUGAUGAACACCACGUCGAACCUGUCUAGAUAAGGCUUGAAACACGAUUCAUUAGAUCCAUAAAAACUGUUGGGGCAUCAGUAAGCCCAAAC